Small nuclear RNA from Saimiri boliviensis boliviensis (Bolivian squirrel monkey), 102 nucleotides. The record is from Ensembl. NCBI's taxonomy places the organism in Eukaryota, Metazoa, Chordata, Mammalia, Primates, Cebidae.
AUGCUUGAGCAGCACAUACACUAAGAUUGGAACAACACAGAGAAGCUGAGCAUGGCCCCUGCGCAGGAGAACGUACACGUUCAUGAAGCAUUCCAUAUUUUU